AGGAAAUUUUGCAAUCAUCUUCACCUGAAAGUGUAUAUAUAUAUAUAAGAAGGAUGUUAGCUCACAAAAGCAGUUUAUUAAAAAAUGUAAAUCAAUCAGUCAUGAUAAGCCAUCUAUGCUCCUGCGCCUGAAAUAAAAACCACUAAAAACUGAAAUUUAUUUCAUACUUUCAGUUAACACAUAUAUGAGAUGCUUUAUCAAGACAACAAACACAGUUGUCAAAUCAAGAUUUGGAUUGUGAAUUACAAUGUAAAUUCUCUGAAUUGAGAACUUAGAAUCAAAAAAUUGCAAUAAAAUCAGAAAAUCAAUAAAAAAUGACAAUAUAUUUUGAGAAGUUGAAUAUUUAUAGCAAACUUUGAAUAAUCGCAUAAUCAUGAAGGCUAUGGUUUCAAAGCAAGUAAUGCAGGCCAUGGCCCAAUAUGAGCCGUACUAUUAUUAUGUAUAUAAAUAAAACAAAAAUGGAAAUUUAAUUUGAUAGCCAAAAUAUUUAAAAUUCAUGGAAAAACAUAUACAAUAUUCCUUUCUUUUCAAGCAUGAACACCAUAUUUGUAUGCACUAUGUACUAUUGAAUAUUCAAAAUCACAAAGUUUCUAAACCCAUGUAAUCUCCAAAAUACCAAGGAAACAAAUAAACUUGUACUAUACUAUUCUUCAACAUGAAUUAGUAUCAGGCUUCAGUAAUCCGUGUUUUGUUUGGAGAUGAAAAGAAGACUACAUAAGGAAGAGAAUGAAAGAUGAAAGCAAAAUCAAGCAAGGGCAGAGAAUAAAAUACAAAAUGAACUAAGGAUUGCGGAGGAAGAGAGAAGGAAAAAAAUUAGAAAAAAAA
Molecule: unclassified non-coding RNA, 825 nt
Filed under: Hevea brasiliensis (rubber tree)
Lineage: Eukaryota; Viridiplantae; Streptophyta; Magnoliopsida; Malpighiales; Euphorbiaceae
Source: RNAcentral